Molecule: small RNA, 433 nt
Filed under: Pongo abelii (Sumatran orangutan)
Lineage: Eukaryota; Metazoa; Chordata; Mammalia; Primates; Hominidae
Description: processed transcript
Source: RNAcentral
AGGCUGGAGUGCAGUGGUGCCAUCUUGGCUCACCGCAACCUCUGCCUUCUGGUUUCAAGCAAUUCUUCUGCCUCAUCCUCCCAAGUAGUUGGGAUUACAGGUGCCCACCACCAUGCUCAGAUUUGUAAGACUCCAGGGCCUCCCAGCCGUGAAUAAUCUGAUGGUUCCUGAAAUGACUGGGGAAACAGACGCUUCGUAUGGCAGUUGAAGAGUGUGUGUCUAUGUGCAUUUAAAAUCUUCUUUCUGUACUUACACAUUCAUACGGGAAGACAGGCUCAUUCUUGUGCACACUUGAGAGUUUUACAACUGAUGAAAAUUAAUUUAAGAAUCAGAUGGAGCAACUUGACACCACUGGGCUCAGGAGCCCGGGGAGAAAAAUACAUCACUAAUGGCCAAUUUUCCAUAUGGUCUGCACGGGUAAAGAAAGUCUGCA